This 433-nucleotide ribosomal RNA is filed under the name uncultured bacterium. Its description in RNAcentral is "partial 16S ribosomal RNA". It matches the Rfam family "Bacterial small subunit ribosomal RNA", at positions 29 to 507 of the family's 1533-position model. The record is from RNAcentral.
AACGAACGCUGGCGGCAUGCCUAACACAUGCAAGUCGAACGAGACCUGCGGGUCUGGUCGCGCAUGCGUGCGUAACGGGUUGGGACCUGCCCUUAGAUUCGGAAUAACUCCCCGAAUAAGGUGCGAAUACCGGAUAAUAUCUUCCAACCAAAGAUUUGUCGCCAUUGGGUGGGCUCGCGUUGUAUUGCCUUGUGAGUAGGCUAAAAGGCUACCACUGCGUCGAUCGAUAACUGGUAUGAGAGGAUGAGCAGCCACACUGGGAGGGAGCCACGGCCCAGACUCCUGCGGGAGGCAGCAGUGGGGAAUAUAGGAAAACGGGGGAAAGGCUGAACCAGCAAUGCCGGGUGAGUGAUGAAGGCCGGAGGGUUGUAAAGCACGUUUACCCGUGAUGAUAAUGACAGUACCGGGAGAGUAAGCUCCGGCUAACUCCGUG